UAUCUCAUAUUUUCAUAAUCUUUUGACAACCUCGCCAACAUGUGCCAACUUACUUGGAAAAAAGUGAUUUCACCAACUUUUACGUCAUUGAAUCUCCUAUUGAAGGAAAAAUUUAGGUUAAGCACCAGUGCAACGCAUGUUCCAGUUUCACUACGAUAAGAAACGAAAUCAAUUUAAUGGAAGCAGUAUAGGUUAAUGAGAACUGCAACAGCUGAGGGACAUUACACACACAUCAAUUAUUACAGUGUCGAUGAUAAUAGAUUAUUUUACUUAUUAUAUUUGAUUAUUCAUUCAUUAAAGUGGACAAUUAUUUUGUAA
This is a long non-coding RNA of Diachasma alloeum, 318 nucleotides long. RefSeq lists it as uncharacterized. NCBI's taxonomy places the organism in Eukaryota, Metazoa, Arthropoda, Insecta, Hymenoptera, Braconidae. The record is from RefSeq and is a predicted model, not a curated record. The transcript is spliced from 3 exons.